AGUGAACGCUGGCGGUAGGCCUAACACAUGCAAGUCGAACGGCAGCACAGUAAGAGCUUGCUCUUACGGGUGGCGAGUGGCGGACGGGUGAGGAAUACAUCGGAAUCUACUUUUUCGUGGGGGAUAACGUAGGGAAACUUACGCUAAUACCGCAUACGAUCUACGGGUGAAAGCAGGGGAUCUUCGGACCUUGCGCGAUUGAAUGAGCCGAUGUCGGAUUAGCUAGUUGGCGGGGUAAAGGCCCACCAAGGCGACGAUCCGUAGCUGGUCUGAGAGGAUGAUCAGCCACACUGGAACUGAGACACGGUCCAGACUCCUACGGGAGGCAGCAGUGGGGAAUAUUGGACAAUGGGCGCAAGCCUGAUCCAGCCAUACCGCGUGGGUGAAGAAGGCCUUCGGGUUGUAAAGCCCUUUUGUUGGGAAAGAAAAGCAGCAGGUUAAUACCCCGCUGUUCUGACGGUACCCAAAGAAUAAGCACCGACUAACUUCGUG
Molecule: ribosomal RNA, 492 nt
Filed under: uncultured bacterium
Lineage: Bacteria
Description: partial 16S ribosomal RNA
Rfam family: Bacterial small subunit ribosomal RNA
Source: RNAcentral